UACGGAGGGUGCAAGCGUUGUCCGGAUUUAUUGGGUUUAAAGGGUGCGUAGGCGGCUUUUUAAGUCAGUGGUGAAAGACAACAGCUCAACUGUUGCAGUGCCAUUGAUACUGAAGAGCUUGAGUACAGAUGAGGUAGGCGGAAUUUAUGGUGUAGCGGUGAAAUGCAUAGAUACCAUAAAGAACACCUAUUGCGAAGGCAGCUUACUAAGCUGUAACUGACGCUGAGGCACGAAAAGUGUGGGGGAUCAAACAGG
RNAcentral lists this ribosomal RNA (255 nucleotides) under uncultured bacterium. RNAcentral describes it as "partial 16S ribosomal RNA". It matches the Rfam family "Bacterial small subunit ribosomal RNA", at positions 524 to 776 of the family's 1533-position model. The record is from RNAcentral.